GAGUAAUUGUAAACAUCUGCUAAAGAAAAACCGAAAACAUGACUAAGAGAGAAAUGAACUUCAACAUAAAGCAUUGUGUGAACAGAUCCACCGCAAAAAAAACACCAUUUCCGUGGGUCAGUUCUAUUCUGAAUGUGAAAAAAGUUGUUGAUAAAAAUAAAUGUUUGAUUCCAGCUAAAAACAUUUUGCUUAAAGUCAGGCUGUCCGUCUGCUCAAAUAUCAAGGAAUGUGGCUACUCUUACAUUUCUGCAGCAGCUUUGGCCCCUGCUGCUCCUCUUGCCUUGUUCCAACAGAAGCAUUUGCACAAGCACAGAGAACUGGACUCAAACUAAUCUGACAGAAAGAUGUUUUUUUUCCUUGUUCUUCUGGGUUAUUUUUUAACGGGAUCGCUGAGGCGAUCAGAUUGUGAUGAUAGCUCAUGCAGAAAAGCUGCUAAAUUUCUAACCGUUGCCUCAAAAUGCUGACAAACUUCAGUGUCGUAAUGAUAAUAUAAAUGAAGGUUGAAGAACCCAAAAUGAAACCUGUUUCCCAGCUCUGACAAUGUCAUUAUUGGUGGUAGAUAAUUGUGCAUAAAGAACAAAGGAAUCUUGCAAGUACAGUAACCUACAGAUGACAGUCAGCAAGGAUUUGCAGAAAAUGCAAUAUAUGAACAAAUCUCCGAACUCCACUUGGGGAAUUCUCAAGUAACUCUCAUUUUACUAUCUAGUUGUCAUCCCUAACCAUGUAAACUUCUGUGUGUGUGUGUGUGUGUGUGUGUGGUAUAGCAAAAUAGCAACACCAUUUGGCAAGAGAUUUAUAUUUAGGAAGUGAAUGGAGGCUUUGAGAAACCCUGUAGUAGUUUUCAAACAUGUUUAGAAAACUGAUUAGAAAACUCUUUAGAAACUACCAUUCAGUUGAAGAAUAUUAUGUAUCUUUUAGAAACGCUGUUGGCUUUCAUAGACUGCUUGGAAUAUCUUAGUGUCAGUAUUGGGAAAAUAUAUUCCUUCGUGCACUGUGAUAUAUUUCUGCAAAGCAAACUUACUACCAACUAGAACAGGUUUUCUUUCCUGUGGUUUCUCAUCUGUUUCUGCUCAGUCAAGGUGCAUCUGGGAAUACAUUUCCCCUUGCAGCAGCAGGUGGCGUUGAAUAGCACACGUUAUUCUCACACUUACAAUUAUUUUGUCUCAUAUGUAGUAAAACCUCCUCUCCCAAAAGAGAUAACCCACAAGAGAAAUUCAACAAGUUUUUAUAGAUGUAGCAGAUGCUCUACAUGACAGGGGGUAGGGGUCAAAUUCUUCCAGCUUUAAUUACACUGAGAAAUAAGACCAUAAAUAAUGUAUUUAAGGAGCAGCAAAAGUAAAUGCAUUACAUUAUUUUUUUAAUUAAUUUUUCUUUACAUUUUUUUACCCACAAAAAUCUCUUGGCUUGCUCUUGCAGCACCACAGAGUUCAUGUUGUGGUACGGUGAUGUUUAUCAUGUACCAGUACUCAUUCACCCUGCAGAAAUUUGCAAACCUGAGUUUGUUUUGUGGCUUUCUUCAUCCACAUUACCUCCAUGGAACAAAGGAAUUGAUUCUUCUCCCAAAAACAUUAUCAUUGCAUCUUCAUGCAGUACAGUGCAGUGUUUCAGAUUUACACUGUGGUGAGAACAGAAUGAGAAUUAGUAUUUUCCAAACUUUUCGCUGAAGCUUUUUCUAAAAACUACGGAAUAUUGCAGAAUCAGUUCAAAACAGACCUUCACAUGACUUCCUAAGCUUAUUUUUUAAAUAUCAUACAAAUAAAAUAAAAUGAUAUCUUUAUGUGCACACAAGUAAAACCUAAGAAUGAAAUAGAAACCUUUUACAAGCAAGUGACUGUACCUCGGUCUGUAGUCAGUCUUAGCAGUGAUUAUGAGUAUUUAAGAAAUCCAUCCAUCUUCCUUUCAUCAACAGUCACUUUUGCAUUUGCAUAUCUAAUAAUUUAUGGCAUGUCCUGACCCCAAGCAGUAAUUGAACCAAUAGAUCUUCAGACCAGAUUUACACUGGUCUGGCUGCCACAGUAAUGUAACUCUGCAGGAGUUUUGGAUUAUUCCAAAUGCCAUCUCCUCUUCUGAGAGACUCACAGUCACGGGCUAAAUUUUACCUCCAAAUGUCAAGGCAGAAACUCUAUAGCUUAGUUUAAACUAUCUAGCUCUCCUUUUGGAAUACUUUAGAUAAAAACAGGAGGCACAGUGAUCACUCUCAACAUUGCCCUUGGUAGACUGAUUUUAAUGUAAGAUUCUGUAACAAUAAAUUAAUUCUCCUAAGAGUAUAAAACCAUGGAAGAGCCUGAAGUGUAGAAAUGAAAGGAGGAAAUCUAUAGCAGAGUUUGUAAAUGGUAAUGUAAAAAAAAAAUAGAAAUAAAAGGGGAGAGACACUGUUAUGUUGGUGAGGGCUCUGAUGAUCACAAACAGGCUGAUGAGAAUCGAGCUUCAAGUAGGAGAUAGGGUGCUCUUCUGACUUGAGCAAGCCAUGGCACAGCACAAAACCCAGCCAACUGCCUGUGUUUCUUCUUCUCAAAAUGUGAUUUAGAGACCAAUUUCAAGGCAGCAUUAUAUGCUUCAGUAAAGGGUUCUCAAAAGCUUUGAAUAAGAAAAAUACCAGCAAACACACAGCUCUGCACUGUUGCAGGCACUUUGCUGAAUACUAAGUAUUGAGAAAAUACAGCAAUAGAAGUUGUGUCUUUUCCAGCAGGUAUUCCUUGGGGAAAAUCUCUCACUGCUCUUCACCUGUUUCUGACUGUAACAGAAGAGUCAGGUGCACAGACCGGUCACACUGCUGCUGCUUCCAAACAGUAUUCCAGACAUUAUAAAAAGAUGCUGGGUCUGAAAUUUUAUAACAAGUCUCAUCAGUUGGCUGUUUUAUUUUCCUGGAAAGGAGCUCAACUGAACAAGCUCUGGCAGACACACAGAGCUAUGCUGUUGCCACUGACAGGAGUCCCAGAACAACACAUACAGUCUGUGAGAAAAUGCUACUGUCUCACAACUGUGGAAAAAAAAGAAAAGAGCAGCAAAGGUACGAACGAGGGAUGCAGUAUUAAUCUAUUGAUGAUUAAGUGCUGCCAUUGUUCCUUAAUAGCUAAGUUCAAUGAUGAUAGACAUCCUGAAAAAUAGAUAGAUAGACAGAAAGAUAGAUAUCCUCAGCUACAUCAACCAUCCAUAAUAUCCCAUGUGCUGCCAUCACUGCUUUGCCUGACCAAUUGCCUGUGUAACCUGUUCCAUCUUGUAUGAUCAAUAUUAGCACUUCACUAAGCAUGCAGUUACAGCUAUCUGCUAGCAAAGGAAGAACCUCAUCUUGCCUCUUUGUAAUGAAAGAUGAUCAUCUUGAAGAAGAAAUGCAAUUUCCUAUACCGAUACUUUCAUUUAAUUGUUUUCAGUGACUUGUUUGAUGCCUGUGUUCUACUUAUUAUGUAAAUAUAGCAAAAAGCAAAGUAUCAGAAAAUGAAUUAACAUUGAAAAGUUGAACAGGAAAACAGGGUUUGAUGUCCAAGCAAUGUCUCUGUGCCUCAGUUUUCCAUAAUUAAAGUGAGAUUAACAAUACCAUAACCACCUUUUGUGAGAUUCUUGUGGAUCAUUGAUUAGCAGACGUAAAAAGUUUCAGGGGCAGAAAUUCCCCUGGUGCCUCCAAAUAGUAAGUGGGCUGUGAUUCUCUUAGGAACUGACUGAGAUACCAAAGAAUGAUAAGAUACAGUAGCGCAGGAUCAAAAGGAGAGGAAGACAGGUCUCUGUGCAGUAUGGGAAUGACAGCACAGGAAGAAAAAUAUUGCUGGCCCUACCACCCUAAUCCUCUCAUUAACUGCCUAAGGGAGGACAGCACAGAAGAGGAAGUUCUUUAUCCCACCCAGCCACUGCUGAAAGAGUGGGUGUUCCUGGUGAGCAUCAGGAUAAAAACAGCAAAUACCAGCGAGAGACAGACAUUGUGACAUCUCCCUUGGCAUGGAAAUACAAAACGGUGGGAAGCUCCCUGUGCAGUGUGUGUGGUUGCAGUAAGAUCUCCUUGCCAUUACGCAGGAGGGGAUAAAUCUUGUUUCAAUGAAGCUGAAAGCAGUGCAGCUCAGCUGAAAUUAUCUGCAAAAAACAUAAGAAUGAAAAGGCCCCUGCCCUGUAAGUUGAUGUCUCCUGUGUUUCUGGCUCCCCUAUCAAUACUGUCUUUUUCGCUCUCUUUUUUUUUUUUUCUCAUGUCAG
Molecule: long non-coding RNA, 4179 nt
Filed under: Gallus gallus (chicken)
Lineage: Eukaryota; Metazoa; Chordata; Aves; Galliformes; Phasianidae
Description: lncRNA (ENSGALG00010025625.1)
Source: RNAcentral